AUUGACCAUAUUUGGACAGUGCCUGGAUGUGGUUAAAACAUGGAAGGGAUCGGACAAAUUCAAAUGAUAAGACAGCUUUGGAAAAUUUGCCAAGAAUGCCUGGUCUGCAGCAGUUAUUUUACCCCGUGUACACACACACACGCGUUAUUUUACCCGUAUGAUAAGCUGGUUUGUCUGAAGACCAAAAAGUUGGAAAAUACAUUAAAGAAAGAACAUUUAAUAGUGAAUGAAUGAAUUCAAGCACCAUCAUUCCACAUGCAGCGACAGUAAAAACACCC
Hippocampus zosterae (dwarf seahorse) is the source of this 278-nucleotide long non-coding RNA. RefSeq lists it as uncharacterized. The record is from RefSeq and is a predicted model, not a curated record. The transcript is spliced from 2 exons. Lineage: Eukaryota; Metazoa; Chordata; Actinopteri; Syngnathiformes; Syngnathidae.